This 222-nucleotide ribosomal RNA is filed under the name Citrobacter freundii. RNAcentral describes it as "partial 16S ribosomal RNA". It matches the Rfam family "Bacterial small subunit ribosomal RNA", at positions 995 to 1217 of the family's 1533-position model. The record is from RNAcentral. Lineage: Bacteria; Pseudomonadati; Pseudomonadota; Gammaproteobacteria; Enterobacterales; Enterobacteriaceae.
ACUUAGCAGAGAAGCUUUGGUGCCUUCGGGAACUAUGAGACAGGUGAUGCAUGGCUGUCGUCAGCUCGAGUUGUGAAAUGUUGGGUUAAGUACCGCAACGAGCGCAACCAUUAUCAUUAGUUGCCAGCGAUUCUGUCGGGAACUCAAAGGAGACUGCUAGUGAUAAACUGGAGGAUUGUGGUUAUGACGUCAAGUCAUCAGGGCCCUUACGAGUAGGGCUAC